RNAcentral lists this ribosomal RNA (301 nucleotides) under uncultured bacterium. Its description in RNAcentral is "partial 16S ribosomal RNA". It matches the Rfam family "Bacterial small subunit ribosomal RNA", at positions 509 to 807 of the family's 1533-position model. The record is from RNAcentral.
CAGUCGCCGCGGUAAUACGUAGGUGGCAAGCGUUGUCCGGAAUUAUUGGGCGUAAAGGGCUCGCAGGCGGUUUCUUAAGUCUGAUGUGAAAGCCCCCGGCUCAACCGGGGAGGGUCAUUGGAAACUGGGAAACUUGAGUGCAGAAGAGGAGAGUGGAAUUCCACGUGUAGCGGUGAAAUGCGUAGAGAUGUGGAGGAACACCAGUGGCGAAGGCGACUCUCUGGUCUGUAACUGACGCUGAGGAGCGAAAGCGUGGGGAGCGAACAGGAUUAGAGACCCGCGUAGUCCCUGUCUCUUAUAC